Cannabis sativa is the source of this 440-nucleotide long non-coding RNA. RefSeq lists it as uncharacterized. The transcript has 2 exons. Lineage: Eukaryota; Viridiplantae; Streptophyta; Magnoliopsida; Rosales; Cannabaceae. The record is from RefSeq and is a predicted model, not a curated record.
AGAUAUAUAUAUUUCACUCUAUUGGUGUCACCAUCUCCAUCAUUUUCUAGUGCUCAACUAGAUCUUAUUUGAAAGCUAAGGUAAUUUUAUAAUUUUUGGGUUUGUAGAUAUUUAAGGUUAAGAUUUUCAUAUGUGUAAAUAUAUAUACUAUUAUGAUAAAUUCUAAUUAAUAAGUGUGAAAACUAGGUUUGUCAUAAAACAAUUAUUACUUCUCAAAGAUCUCUCUCAUUGCAAUCAGGGUUAAGACUCCACAUUCGAGACCAAGGUAACUGAAAGUUUAGAAAGCCGGUGGCGAGUGGAACUUUGGAUGCUUGUGUGUGUGAACUCGCUGAGGGCUAUAUAACUGCGGGCGGUCUAGGGCGCUCUAUUUAUUUAUUCACGUUAUUAAACUUAUGUCGCAAUUAUUUUAGUUAUUAAUUAUUAUGUCUUUUGUACGAAAA